UGACAUUCCAAUUUUCUCCCAAUUCUAUUGGAAGGUCAAUCUUAAAUGCUGUAUAGGAGGAUCUCAUUGAGAAGAUAUCAUUUGAGCAAAGAUGUAAAGCAAGGGAGGGAAUGAGUCAGUGGCUACAUAGCGAGAGUGUCCUAGGCAGAGGAAACAGCUUCUACAAAAGCCCUGAAGCAAGAGAAUGUUUGAAGUGUUCAAGAAUAAACAGGAGAUGCAGAAUGAAUGGAAUUGAGAGUGAGUGAGGCAGUCGGAUACAAGAGAGACUAAUAUGGGGCAGCACUGAAGACUGCUGACAGCAGCCACAUGAGUGAGCUCAGAGUGGACACAACAGCCCCUUCAGAGGCUGCAGGGAUGGCAGACAGCCUGACUGCAAUGUCGUGAAAGAUGCUGAGGCAGAACCAUGCAGCAAAGUCAUUCCCAGAUUCCUGACUCUCAGAAAAUAACCAGGACUCAAUUCCUGCUCCAUGACUACAUUUGGAACUUCACUGCUGAGUUUCCGGUUCUGCUAGAGCUUCCAAGAAUGGUGGGCUAAAGUCCCUUUCCUCGAUAAUCUCAUUUCUCAUGGUUUUCUACUUAAAGCAAUACUGUCUAUGAAGUGCAACCUGGCUCUUCCUUCUCCCGUAAUCAUUGCCUCUCUGGAUUUUCCUUCUUCCAAGACUCCCUUUCCUGAUUCCCUUUAACACCCCUUUCAUAAUUCACAUCCAGAGAGUUCUCUGCAAUCACCUACCCAUCCCAAUCUCCA
Molecule: long non-coding RNA, 745 nt
Filed under: Homo sapiens (human)
Lineage: Eukaryota; Metazoa; Chordata; Mammalia; Primates; Hominidae
Description: HSALNT0314055
Source: RNAcentral